GGCCCCAUCUUUGCGUAAAUCCAUCACCUUGUGAAUUUUAUAAAGAAGCAAUUUCAUACGUUCCGCAAUGGCACGUCAUUCUAAGGUCCGGCGUGGAUCUGAACUUUUGUGUGAAUACUGUUCAAAGGCAUUUGCUUUCGCUUCUGAUUUAAAGCUGCACGUGAGAAGCCACACUGGCGAGAAGCCAUUUUUAUGUAAAGUUUGUUCUAAGGGAUUUUCCCAUGAGGGAAAUCUGCUGAGACACGUGAGAAUUCAUACUGGGGAAAAACCAUUUCCGUGUGCAGUUUGCUCGAAAGAGUUUUCUCAAAUGGGAGAUUUACGCAAACACUUGAGAACGCAUUCUGGGGAAAAACCAUUCUCCUGUAAAGUGUGUUCUAAGGAAUUUUCUCAACAAGUACACCUGAAAAUACACUCGAGAACCCAUACAGGAGAAAAGCCGUUUUCCUGCGAAGUGUGUUCCAGGCCUUUUUCUCAAAUUUCAAGCCUGAAAGUACACUUGAGAAUUCAUGACGGCGAAAAGCCAUUUUCCUGUGAAGUUUGUUUAAGAAAAUUUUUCCAAAAAGGACAACUGAAAUUACACAUGAGAUCCCAUACUGGCGAAAAACCAUAUGCCUGUGAAGUGUGUUCUAAAAAAUUUUCUCAUCCAACAAACCUGAAAGCACACUUGUUAUCCCAUUCUGGGGAAAAGCCACUUUCCUGUGAGUUGUGUUCAAAGGAAUUUUCUCGACAUGCACACCUGAAAUUACACUUGAGAAAUCAUACUGGCGAAAAGCCAUAUUCCUGUGAGGUGUGUUCAAAGCGAUUUUCUCAACUAGGAAACAUGAAAAGCCACUUGAGGACUCAUACUGGCGAAAAGCCGUUUUCCUGCAAAGUGUGUUUUGAGCAGUUUGCUCACUCAAAAAGCUUGAAAGUUCACGUGAGAACUCAUUCUGACGAAAAGCCGUAUGCGUGUGAAGUUUGCGCUAAAGAAUUUUUUGAAAUGGCUCACCUGAAAAGACACAUGACUCUUCAUUCUGGCAGAAAGCCACAUUCUUGUGAAGUUUGCGCUAAAGAGUUUUUUGAAAUAUCUCACCUAAAAAGACACUUGACCGUUCAUUCUGCCGAAAAGCCGUUUUCUUGUAAGCUGUGUUCUAAGAAAUAUUCUCGAUUAGAAAGCCUGAAAAAACACUUGUCAAUCCAUGCUGGCGAAGAUUAGUAUUGUACGGGAAGUUCGUCCAAACGAAUUUUUUCAAGCACGAAUUCUGAAAAAAAAAAAAAAAAAAAAGCAGAGGAAAAUGCGAUGUGGUUAAAUUCCAUAUUGCUGUAAAGUUUAAACUUAAGGGUUAUUUUCAUCUCAUUUUCCUGAAUCAACACUGGAGAUACCAAACCAAAUUCCUGUGUUAAGAGAUUUUUUCAACUAGUAAAUUCGAAGAUACACCGUAGAAUCUGUUCUGACUGAACUCUGGCAUACGAACAAUGACCGAAGAAUGUUUUCAAGUGACAUUUAAUUUUAGUAUCAGUUCAGAACACUUGUUGUAAAACUGAAAUGAAAAGAUGUCAACACAUUGACUGAUCCAAUGAACUGAAAAGGAGAUCCCAUUAGAAGUCAGAGUGCUGGAGCACUUAUGAUUCCGGACGUCCUUUUGGUAAAUCAGUGACACGCAGGAAAAUGCUGUGCUAUACAUGUUUCUCAAAGAUUUUCUGAGUUUCUCUGACCGGAAAUCCAUUAGCUUGCUAGAAAUAAGUGUUUUGCAUUUUAGAAGAAAUUCGUUCCUUUUGUAACAAAAUAAAGUCAUAUUUGUAUGAAUUCCAAUGAAGUAGCUUGUCUGCUCAUGACAACAGAUAAUAUUCUAAAGUAUUCAUCUUUGUGAAAUUUGUUGUUCUGAUGAUUUCUGUACGAUUUUUCUUCCUCUGGUGGCCAACCGUUUCACACAGAAUUGAGACUAAAUACCAUUCUCUUGGGCUUUCUGCUGUAGAAGAUUUUUGAUACCACCGAACACAACCCUUGUGACUAUCCUGACUUGGUGAUUUAAUUAUAGAAGCCAAUACAUUUUCUUGUAUAACUUCUCGUUAAAGCGUUUCCAUACCUCAACUUUCGAAGGAUGAAAAACGUCACUUAUGCAGAAAAAAAUCGUUUACUGUGUGGGUCGAAAACAUUUUCUUUUGCUUCAUAUCGAGGAGAAUAAAUAUAUAU
Molecule: RNA transcript, 2173 nt
Organism: Uloborus diversus
Lineage: Eukaryota; Metazoa; Arthropoda; Arachnida; Araneae; Uloboridae
Gene name: zinc finger protein 227-like
Exons: 2
Source: RefSeq, a predicted model, not a curated record